UACGUAGGGUGCAAGCGUUGUCCGGAAUUAUUGGGCGUAAAGAGCUCGUAGGCGGUCUGUCGCGUCGGCUGUGAAAACCCGAGGCUCAACCUCGGGCCUGCAGUCGAUACGGGCAAACUAGAGUACUGCAGGGGAGACUGGAAUUCCUGGUGUAGCGGUGAAAUGCGCAGAUAUCAGGAAGAACACCGAUGGCGAAGGCAGUUCUCUGGGACGGUACUGACGCUGAGACGCGAAAGCGUGGGGAGCGAACAGG
Molecule: ribosomal RNA, 253 nt
Filed under: uncultured bacterium
Lineage: Bacteria
Description: partial 16S ribosomal RNA
Rfam family: Bacterial small subunit ribosomal RNA
Source: RNAcentral